This 69-nucleotide transfer RNA is filed under the name Ictidomys tridecemlineatus (thirteen-lined ground squirrel). Its description in RNAcentral is "Spermophilus tridecemlineatus (thirteen-lined ground squirrel) tRNA". It matches the Rfam family "tRNA". From Rfam's summary of the family: Transfer RNA (tRNA) molecules are approximately 80 nucleotides in length. Their secondary structure includes four short double-helical elements and three loops (D, anti-codon, and T loops). The record is from Rfam by way of RNAcentral. Lineage: Eukaryota; Metazoa; Chordata; Mammalia; Rodentia; Sciuridae.
GGAUAUGGGUCAAUGGUAGAACACUUGCUUAGAGAGCAUGAGGCCUGGGUUUGAUCCCCAGCAUAUUUU